This 4521-nucleotide ribosomal RNA is filed under the name Triticum aestivum (bread wheat). RNAcentral describes it as "partial small subunit ribosomal RNA". Lineage: Eukaryota; Viridiplantae; Streptophyta; Magnoliopsida; Poales; Poaceae. The record is from RNAcentral.
AUGGAGGAAGAAGCUCUGAGGGAGGCCAUGGAAGACGCCUUUCUGGAGGGCGCGGCCCAAUGGCGAGCGGACAACAUCCUCCAGACCCUGCAGAUGGACAAGCUGGACGCGUGGAUCCGCCAAGAGGGGCUUGGCGGUGACAUCGAGGCGCUCAAAUCUGAGAUCGAUGAAGUCAUGGCGACGGUCUCUUAUGUCAAGGGGAGGGCGGUAGGCAACAGGAGGCUGGCUAGGUCUCUCGCCGCGAUCAAGCAGAAGCUCUUCGACGCCGAUGACGCGGUCGACGAGCUCGACUACUACAGACUUCAACAGCAGGUCGAACUCGAAGGAGCAGGCCAAUACCCGCUGCUGUCUUCAUCCAACGCGCACAACCGCUUCGCCUCUGACGGUGUUAUCCAGUCUUGCACCGCAGCCACAGUGACUAACACCGUUACUUUGCAGGAGCCCGAAGGCAUGCAUGAAGCAGCGCGAGUAGAUCAUGGCACAUCGAUGGACGAUGGUGAUAAUAUACUGCCGAGAAGAGGUCGUGGCAAAAAAAGGUCCCCACAUUGGGUUGAUUUUGAGGAAAUAUAUGACACUGAUGGAAAAACCGUGGGGGCAGAAUGUAGACACUGUAAAAAGAAACUUAAAUACGACGGUAAACAAGGGCCAAGAGUCUUGAUGACUCACUCCAAUAGUGCCAAGUGUAAGAAUACGCGAGGAGCACGUCCCCAGCCGCCAAGCCAUUCAAGCAUGGAUGAUGCUACUGAAAAUGCUACCCCCGUUGCUGUAAGUAAUUCACCCAGCAUACCAAGGAUGGGAACGAAUCCAGAGCCAACACAAAUCACCGCAGCUGUUGCUCACCCUUGGAAUAAAGACGAAAUUUCCAGUAAGAUACAGAAAAUAACUCAUCAGUUGCAAGGCAUCCGAGGGGAUGUGACAAAGGAUCUCAACAUGUUUGGGUCACACUCUGGUGCAAGUUCAUCUCUCCAUCAAAGUACAGCCUCAGAUCCAUGCCGAAGAACAUCAAGUCUUCUUCAAGGCAAAGUGUAUGGGAGAGACAAAGAGAAGAGCUCCAUCAUAAAGUUGAUGACAGCUGGUAAAUCUGACAGUGUAACUGUUGUGCCUAUUGUAGGCAUUGGAGGUACUGGGAAGACAGCUCUCGCGCAAUUUGUAUAUAACGAUCCGAAAGUGCAAGACCAUUUUGACCACAGCAUAUGGGUUUGGGUGUCUAACAACUUUGAUGAAAUGGUACUGACGAGAGAGAUAUUAGAUAUUGUCCCUCGAGAAAAACACGAAGGGUUAUGCAGCCUUGACAAACUUCAGCAGGUCUUGAAAACUCAUAUUGAAUCAAAGAGGGUUCUACUUAUUUUAGACGAUGUCUGGGAUGACAAGAACAUUCGCAGAUUGGACCUAAUACUUGCUCCUUUCAAGUCAGACAAUCCAAAUGGCAACGUGAUCCUUGUGACAACUAGAAAUCUCUCUGUUGCAAAAAGGAUAGGAAUGACUGAACCAGUUGUGUUAGGUGCGCUGGAAGAUGACGAAUUGUGGUUAUUGCUCAAAGCACGAGCAUUUGGUAAAGAGAACUAUGAAGAGCAUGGAAAUCUAACGAACAUUGGACAGGAAAUAGCAGGCAAGCUAAAGGGUAACCCAUUAGCAGCAGUAACUGCAGGGGAACUAUUAAGAGUUGAUCUUACUGUUGAUCACUGGAAUAAAAUUCUCAAGGACGAAGAUUGGAAAUUGUUGGGGCUCAGUGGAGGCAUCAUGGCUUCUUUGAAGCGUAGCUAUGAUCAGUUGCCGUACCAUCUACACCAAUGCUUCUCGUAUUGUUCUAUAUUCCCCGACAGUUAUAAGUUUCUUGGUGAGGAGUUGGUCCGUAUUUGGAUUUCACAAGGAUUUGUCCAACAGAGCCAUCCAAGUAAGAAAUUAGAGGAGAUAGGAAUGGACUAUUUGGCAGAUUUGGUGAACAUGGGCUAUUUUCAGCAAGUUGGAAGAGAAAUUUCAUAUGUUUUGUGUGGUCUUAUGCAUGAUUUUGCAAGGAUGGUUUCAAAAACUGACUGUGCAAUUAUAGAUGGUCUACAGUGCAAUGAUAUAUUACUAACUGUACAACAUUUGUCAAUAGUAUGGAGCAAAUAUCCGUAUUGGAACACAUCUCAGAUUAACAAGUUUAUAGAAAAUUUGAGAAAUACAAUUGCACCAGUAGUUACAAAACUGAGGUCGUUGGUGUUUAUCGGGCACUACAAGUCUUCUUUCUUCCAGUCCUUCCAAGACAUAUUCCGGAAGGCUCCUAAUUUACGUCUGCUGCAAAUAUCUGCAACCUUUGCAGAUUUUAAUUCCCUCAUGUGCAGUUCUGUUAAUCCUACUCAUCUUCGCUAUCUAAAACUGACGGCCAAUGAGGCGAGGGGGGGUUUGCCUCAGGUUUUGAGCAAUUUUUGUCACCUUCAAGUAUUAGAUGUCGGCUCAAGCACUCAUCUUGAUGUACCUGAUGGCAUGAAUAAUCUUGUCAGUUUGCGGCAUCUUGUUGCAACUUCCAUUGAUAGAAUUGGCAAAUUGACCUCACUUCAGACACUAAACAAUUUCAGCAUACAAGAUUCCAAUGGCUUUCAGAUUAUAGAACUUCAAUGCAUGAACGAUCUUGUCCAACUUGGGGUUUCUCAACUUCAAAAUGUUAAGACUCAGGAGGAGGCUUGUGGAGCAGGACUGCUUGACAAAUGGCACUUAGAAAAGCUGCACUUGUCCUGGGAGGAUAUCAACCUGAAUAUUUUAGAUGUUGAGAACGUCACGUGCUCUGAACCUUCUACCAGCAUAGAAACAGAGGAGUGCUUGCAAAAAGAGGUGCUUGAGGGUCUUCAACCACAUAAAAACCUAAAGCAUCUUCAGAUAUUUGGAUACAAUGGUGCCACCUCUCCAUCUUGGCUAUCUGGAUACAGAUGCAAUAUCUCUGUUACCUCCUUACAGACUCUGCAUUUGGAGAACUGUAGAAAAUGGCGGAUACUUCCAUCUCUGCAAUUGCUUCCCCUUCUUAGAAAAUUAAAGUUAAGCGGCAUGCCAAAAGUAGUAAAAAUAUCAGUUCCUUCGUUAGAGGAGCUGGUGUUAGUUAAGAUGAAAAAGCUGGAGACAUGCUCCUGCACUUAUAUGAGGGGGUUGAACUCCUGUUUAAGGGUUCUGAAAAUUAAGAAUUGCACUUCAUUGAAGGUGUUUGAUCUGUUUGGGGACGGCCAUAAAUUUAAAACUGAGAAGAAGUCAUGGUUGCCACGUAUUUGGGAACUUGUUAUCCACAACUGUCCUCUUUUGCUGGUACCACACCCUUUACCAUCUUCAAGUAUUGUUUCUAGAAUUUCCAUGAGGGGAGUUUCGAAUUUUCCAAGUAUAGAGGCAUCGUCCUUUGGAAGUUUAAUCAUCGGCAAGGAUCCUGGUAGAUCUGAUUAUUAUGAACAUGAAUAUGAUUCUAACAAGGAUCGUUUUGAGGUGCUUUCUGAUGAGCUGUUGGUGUUAGAUGGAAAGAUUUUGGCAUUCCAUAAUCUAAGUUUCCUGACAGAGUUGAUAAUAGGUUACUGCAAAAAUCUAAUGUUUAUUUCAUUAGAAGGAUUAAGUCAACUUGUAUCCUUAAAGACACUGAGAAUAGUGUAUUGUCCAGGGAUUUCCAGUUUCGAUGUUCCACCAGAGCAUGCCCGUGAAGAUUUGACAGCUGCAAAAUACAAUGCCAUCCCAUCUCUUAAACAUAUAAUGAUCCGGUCAUGCGGCAUAGCAUGGGAGUGGCUAUCAUUGAUUGUGCAAUAUGCGCCAGCACUAACGGAAUUGGAUGUACAGAACUGCCCAGAAUUGGAAUCUUUACAGCUGAACUCCUGCACGGCACUGCAAAAGUUGAAGGUAUGUACAUGUGAAUCGCUUGGCACACUAGAUGUCUUGCAAUCCCGUUCCCUCUGCAUUAUGGAAGUAAGGGGCGCCCCAAAUUUGAAAUCUCUACAGCUGCACUCCUGCACGGCACUGCUAAUGUUGGAUAUUCGGAGCUGCACAUCACUCUCUACACUGGAGGGCUUUCAAUCCCUUGGCAGCCUCAUGCAUUUGUAUCUACGGGAAUGCCCUUGCUUGCAUUCAUGUUUGGAGGGUUUGCCAGUGCAGGACUACGAAUUAUGCCCUCAACUGGAAUAUCUUUCUAUUAGUGACUUCUCUUUCCUUGCCACGUCUUUCUGCAAGCAACUCACAUCACUCCAGAGCUUAGUUAUUAGUGGUUUUGAAAAAGAAACACCAGCAGAAGGACUAACAGAUGAGGAAGAGACAGGGCUUCUGCUCCUCAGUUCCCUUACAGAGCUCCGAUUUAUGUGUUACAAAUAUCUCAAAGAUCUUCCUGCAGGCCUGCACAGACUUCGCUUUCUCCAGGUGUUGGAUAUUUCAUUUUGUCCGAGCAUCUCAGGAUUGCCGGACCUCCCGCCUUUCCUAGAGGAGUUGAAAGUCUUCCGGGGCAGUGAGGAGCUGAAACGUCAAUCCAAAUCGCUAGUGUCAAGCAAGUUAAAGGUCAAAAUUGACGACCAAUAUGUGAACUGA